GGCGGCAUGCUUAACACAUGCAAGUCGAACGAGGGCAGCGAUGCCCUAGUGGCGGACGGGUGAGUAACGCGUAGGAAUCUACCCAGUAGAGGGGGACAACCUGGGGAAACCCAGGCUAAUACCGCAUGUGCUCGGGAGAGGAAAGCGGGGGAUCUUCGGACCUCGCGCUAGUGGAUGAGCCUACGUCCGAUUAGCUGGUUGGUGGGGUAAAGGCCUACCAAGGCGACGAUCGGUAGCUGGUCUGAGAGGACGAUCAGCCACACUGGGACUGAGACACGGCCCAGACUCCUACGGGAGGCAGCAGUGGGGAAUAUUGGACAAUGGGCGCAAGCCUGAUCCAGCAAUGCCGCGUGGGUGAAGACGGCCUGCGGGUUGUAAAGCCCUUUAGGCGGGGAGGAACGGCGUCGUGCGAACAGUGCGGCGCUCUGACGUUACCCGCGGAAUAAGCACCGGCUAACUCCGUGCCAGCAGCUGCGGUAAUACGGAGGGUGCGAGCGUUAAUCGGAAUUACUGGGCGUAAAGCGUGCGUAGGCGGAUGGGUC
This 542-nucleotide ribosomal RNA is filed under the name uncultured bacterium. Its description in RNAcentral is "bacterial SSU rRNA". It matches the Rfam family "Bacterial small subunit ribosomal RNA", at positions 38 to 585 of the family's 1533-position model. The record is from RNAcentral.